UACGUAGGGUGCGAGCGUUAAUCGGAAUUACUGGGCGUAAAGCGUGCGCAGGCGGUUUUGCAAGCCGGAUGUGAAAUCCCCGGGCUCAACCUGGGAAUGGCAUUCGGGACUGCAAGGCUGGAGUGCGGCAGAGGAGACUGGAAUUCCUGGUGUAGCAGUGAAAUGCGCAGAUAUCGGGAGGAACACCAGUAGCGAAGGCGGCACUCUGGGCCGGUACUGACGCUGAGGAGCGAAAGCGUGGGGAGCGAACAGG
RNAcentral lists this ribosomal RNA (253 nucleotides) under uncultured bacterium. RNAcentral describes it as "partial 16S ribosomal RNA". It matches the Rfam family "Bacterial small subunit ribosomal RNA", at positions 524 to 776 of the family's 1533-position model. The record is from RNAcentral.